UGCUCGGUAGCUCAGUUGGUAGAGCAGAUGGCUGUUAACCAUUUGGUCACAAGUUCAAGUCUUGUCCGAGCAG
This 73-nucleotide transfer RNA is filed under the name Candidatus Pinguicoccus supinus. It matches the Rfam family "tRNA". Rfam says of the family: Transfer RNA (tRNA) molecules are approximately 80 nucleotides in length. Their secondary structure includes four short double-helical elements and three loops (D, anti-codon, and T loops). Lineage: Bacteria; Pseudomonadati; Verrucomicrobiota. The record is from Rfam by way of RNAcentral.